GAUGAACGCUGGCGGCGUGUCUAAUACAUGCAAGUCGAGCGAACAGACGAGGAGCUUGCUCCUCUGACGUUAGCGGCGGACGGGUGAGUAACACGUGGAUAACCUACCUAUAUGACUGGGAUAACUUCGGGAAACCGGAGCUAAUACCGUAUAAUAUAUUGAACCGCAUGGUUCAAUAGUGAAAGACGGUUUUGCUGUCACUUAUAGAUGGAUCCGCGCCGCAUUAACUAGUUGGUAAGGUAACGGCUUACCAAGGCGACGAUGCGUAGCCGACCUGAGAGGGUGAUGGGCCACAGUGGAGCUGAGACACGGUACAGAGACUGAGGGGAGGCAGAGGUAGGGAAGGUACGGAAAAGGGGGAAAGCCUGACGGAGGGACGCAGGGGGAGUGAAGAAGGGCUGCGGAUCGUAAAACGCUGUUAGGAGGGAAGAACAAAUGUGUAAGUAACGAUGCACGUGUGAACGGGACCGAAACAGAAAGCCACGGCAAACAACGU
This 496-nucleotide ribosomal RNA is filed under the name uncultured bacterium. RNAcentral's name for it is "partial 16S ribosomal RNA". It matches the Rfam family "Bacterial small subunit ribosomal RNA", at positions 28 to 506 of the family's 1533-position model. The record is from RNAcentral.